Small nucleolar RNA from Beta vulgaris subsp. vulgaris (sugar beet), 147 nucleotides. RefSeq annotates it as small nucleolar RNA SNORA14. The transcript has a single exon. Lineage: Eukaryota; Viridiplantae; Streptophyta; Magnoliopsida; Caryophyllales; Amaranthaceae. The record is from RefSeq and is a predicted model, not a curated record.
AGCCCUACCUACAGAAGGGCUGCGCUUUUUAGAAAAGCGCAACCCUUCUGUGGGUGAAGGGCUGCGCCUUCUAAAAAGCGCAGCCCUUCACAGAAGGGCUGCGCUUUUUUUAAAGCGCAGCCCUUCAUCAAUAGGGCUGCGCUUUUU